UGCAAUUGGAUGAGACAACGUACAAACCUUAUCGAUAAACAAUUGGAGGGCAAGUCUGGUGCCAGCAGCCGCGGUAAUUCCAGCUCCAAUAGCGUAUAUUAACGUUGUUGCAGUUAAAAAGCUCGUAGUUGAAAUGAAGGGUAGUUGUGUAAUGAAUACAUUCGUGUAUUUUGUUAUUCAACUACCCUCCUUCUAAAUUCGAUAUAUGAGUAUUAAUUUACUUGUAUAUGGUUUUAGACCUUUACUGUGAGAAAAUUAGAGUGUUCAAAGCAGGCAUUUGCUUGAAUAUAUUAGCAUGGAAUAAUCAUGUAUGAUUUUCAUGAUGUAUUUGAUUGGUUUGGUUCAUGAGAAUAAGAUUAAAAGGGACAGUUGGGGGUAUUCAUAUUCAAUAGUCAGAGGUGAAAUUCUCGG
This 411-nucleotide ribosomal RNA is filed under the name Blastocystis sp. Its description in RNAcentral is "SSU rRNA". It matches the Rfam family "Eukaryotic small subunit ribosomal RNA", at positions 505 to 923 of the family's 1831-position model. Lineage: Eukaryota; Bigyra; Opalinata; Blastocystidae. The record is from RNAcentral.